UCGCUGUGAUGAAGUUUAUUCAUGGCCAUUCGUAGUUAUUCACCAGCGGUCGAAAGACCAAGAUGGCGCAAGCACCUUUCCUUGGAUUGUCCUGAGCGA
RNAcentral lists this small nucleolar RNA (99 nucleotides) under Astyanax mexicanus (Mexican tetra). Its description in RNAcentral is "Small nucleolar RNA SNORD14 (ENSAMXG00000031490.1)". Lineage: Eukaryota; Metazoa; Chordata; Actinopteri; Characiformes; Acestrorhamphidae. The record is from RNAcentral.